CCUACGGGCGGCAGCAGUGAGGAAUAUUGGUCAAUGGACGAGAGUCUGAACCAGCCAAGUAGCGUGAAGGAUGACUGCCCUAUGGGUUGUAAACUUCUUUUAUAUGGGAAUAAAAUGUUCCACGUGUGGGAUUUUGUAUGUACCAUAUGAAUAAGGAUCGGCUAACUCCGUGCCAGCAGCCACGGUAAUACGGAGGAUCCGAGCGUUAUCCGGAUUUAUUGGGUUUAAAGGGAGCGUAGGUGGAUUGUUAAGUCAGUUGUGAAAGUUUGCGGCUCAACCGUAAAAUUGCAGUUGAAACUGGCAGUCUUGAGUACAGUAGAGGUGGGCGGAAUUCGUGGUGUAGCGGUGAAAUGCUUAGAUAUCACGAAGAACUCCGAUUGCGAAGGCAGUUCACUGGACUGCAACUGACACUGAGGCUCGAAAGUGUGGGUAUCAAACAGGAUUAGAUACCCGGGUAGUC
RNAcentral lists this ribosomal RNA (460 nucleotides) under uncultured bacterium. RNAcentral describes it as "partial 16S ribosomal RNA". It matches the Rfam family "Bacterial small subunit ribosomal RNA", at positions 338 to 795 of the family's 1533-position model. The record is from RNAcentral.